RNAcentral lists this ribosomal RNA (301 nucleotides) under uncultured bacterium. Its description in RNAcentral is "partial 16S ribosomal RNA". It matches the Rfam family "Bacterial small subunit ribosomal RNA", at positions 509 to 809 of the family's 1533-position model. The record is from RNAcentral.
CAGCCGCCGCGGUAAAACGUAGGUGGCGAGCGUUGUCCGGAAUCAUUGGGCGUAAAGGGAGCGCAGGCGGGCAUGUAAGUCUUUCUUAAAAGUUCGGGGCUCAACCCCGUGAUGGGAAAGAAACUACAUGUCUUGAGUACAGGAGAGGAAAGCGGAAUUCCCAGUGUAGCGGUGAAAUGCGUAGAUAUUGGGAGGAACACCAGUGGCGAAGGCGGCUUUCUGGACUGCAACUGACGCUGAGGCUCGAAAGCCAGGGGAGCGAACGGGAUUAGAUACCCCAGUAGUCCCUGUCUCUUAUACA